Molecule: ribosomal RNA, 279 nt
Filed under: uncultured bacterium
Lineage: Bacteria
Description: partial 16S ribosomal RNA
Rfam family: Bacterial small subunit ribosomal RNA
Source: RNAcentral
UGCCAGCAGCCGCGGUAAUACGGAGGGCGCAAGCGUUGUUCGGAAUUACUGGGCGUAAAGCGCGGGCAGGUGGUCUUUUAAGUCUCCUGUGAAACUCCGGGGCUCAACCCCGGACAUGCAGGAGAUACUGGAAGACUAGAGACCGGUAGAGGCUAGCGGAAUUCCUGGUGUAGCGGUGGAAUGCGUAGAUAUCAGGAAGAACACCGGUGGCGAAGGCGGCUAGCUGGGCCGGGUCUGACACUCAUCCGCGAAAGCGUGGGGAGCAAACCGGAUUAGAUA